UACGGUCACGUCACGUUGAGACACUGGCUCCCGUACGAUCACCGAAGUUAAGCAACGUUAACCCUGGUCAGUACCUAGAUGGGUGACUACUUAGGAAUACCAGAUGCUGUAAG
Non-coding RNA from Acanthosepion pharaonis, 113 nucleotides. NCBI's taxonomy places the organism in Eukaryota, Metazoa, Mollusca, Cephalopoda, Sepiida, Sepiidae. The record is from the annotation of a GenBank genome assembly.